This 366-nucleotide transfer-messenger RNA is filed under the name Bacilli. RNAcentral's name for it is "UMGS75 sp900752975 Standard tmRNA". It matches the Rfam family "transfer-messenger RNA". Rfam says of the family: Bacterial tmRNA, also known as 10Sa RNA or SsrA, is named for its dual tRNA and mRNA-like properties. Its role is to liberate the mRNA from a stalled ribosome. RNAcentral also lists the same sequence under 1 other name. The record is from RNAcentral. Lineage: Bacteria; Bacillati; Bacillota.
GGGCCUGUACUGGUUUCGACGGGCUAUGUGAAGUGAUGUAAGCAUACCGUGGGUAGGCACGUUAAAACCUGAGGUUUAUUAAAUUAAACGCAAACACAAAUUAUGCUUUCGCUUGCUAGCAUAAGCAAGUAAUCAAUUAAUUUUGAUUUAUCUCUUAUAAUGCUUGCCUACGUGCGUUAUAAGGGAAAGAGAGUAGGCUGUGAUGAUUAUACUCACUCGGUAUAUGAGUCAAGAUUAAUGAGUUAGUGUAUACUUGGUUUUGUUUUUCUUCCAAUUAUGCAUAAAAACUAAAUAGAAAAACUAAGUAUGUAGAAAACAAAAUGGAACGUUUCUCGGACAGGGUUUCGACUACCCUCAGGUCCACCA